GAGUUUGAUCCUGGCUCAGGAUGAACGCUGGCGGGAUGCCUAACACAUGCAAGUCGAGCGGUAACACUUCGGGUGACGAGUGGCGAACGGCUGAGUAACACGUUGGUACUCACCCCAAACUCAGGGAUAAGCCUUGGAAACGAGGUCUAAUACCGGAUAUCUCAGCAAUGAGAAAGAUUUAUCGGUUUGGGAGAGGCCUGCGACGUAUCACGCUUGUUGGUAAGGUAAAAGCUUACCAAGGCUAUGACGCGUACCUGGUGUGAGAGCACGACCAGGCAGAGUGGGACUGAGACACGGCCCACACUCCUACGGGAGGCAGCAGUGAGGAAUUUUCCACAAUGGGCGAAAGCCUGAUGGAGCAAUCCCGCGUGCAGGAUGACACCUUUCGGGGCGUAAACUGCUUUUCUGAGGGAAGAAAUUUUGACGGUACCUCAGGAAUAAAGGGCGGCUAACUACGUGCCAGCAGCCGCGGUAAUACGUAGGCCCUAAGCGUUAUCCGGAAUCACUGGGCGUAAAGCGAUCGAAGGUGGACUAGUAAGUGAGGUGUUAAAUACCUGCGGCUCAACCGAGGUGCUGCACUUCAAACUGCUAGACUAGAGGGAUGCAGAGGAAACUGGAAUUUCUGUUGUAGGGGUAAAAUCCGUAGAUAACAGAAGGAACACCAAAAGUGAAGGCAGGUUUCUGGGCAUUUCCUGACACUGCACGAUCGAAAGCGUGGGGAGCGAAAGGGAUUAGAUACCCCUGUAGUCCACGCCGUAAACGAUGAAUACUCGGUGUAGGUGGGAAUCAGUCCCCAUCUGUGCCCAAGCUAACGCGUUAAGUAUUCCGCCUGGGGAGUACGGUCGCAAGCCUAAAACUCAAAGGAAUAGACGGGGAUCCACACAAGCGGUGGAGCAUCUGGUUUAAUUCGAUAAUAAGCGGGGAACCUUACCAGGACUUGACAUCCCGAGAGCUCUCUAGAGAUAGAGAGGUGCCUUUCUAAGGAACUCGGUGACAGGUGCUGCAUGGUUGUCGUCAGCUCGUGCCUUGAGGUGUGCGGUUAAGUCCGUGAACGAGCGCAACCCUCGUCGUACGUUGCAUUUUUCGUGCGAGACUGCCCGUUUUACGCGGGAGGAAGGUGAGGAUGACGUCAAAUCAGCAUGGCCCUUAUGUCCUGGGCGACACAGGUGCUACAAUGGCCGGUACAAAGGGCAGCCAACCCGUAAGGGGGAGCCAAUCCCAAAAAACCGGUCUCAGUUCGGAUUGAGGUCUGCAACUCGACCUCAUGAAGCUGGAAUCGCUAGUAACCGUGAAUCAGCCACGUCACGGUGAAUAUGUUCCUGGAUCUUGUACUCACCGCCCGUCAAGUCACGAAAGGUAGGGGUGCCCAAAGUCGUGUUAUUCUUUCGGGAAGCAUGCCUAAGGCAAAACUACUGAUUGGGACUAAGUCGU
This 1431-nucleotide ribosomal RNA is filed under the name metagenome. Its description in RNAcentral is "bacterial SSU rRNA". It matches the Rfam family "Bacterial small subunit ribosomal RNA". The record is from RNAcentral.